Molecule: long non-coding RNA, 1046 nt
Filed under: Cyanistes caeruleus (blue tit)
Lineage: Eukaryota; Metazoa; Chordata; Aves; Passeriformes; Paridae
Description: lncRNA (ENSCCEG00000009101.1)
Source: RNAcentral
UUAACAUCUAAUGGACUCUCUCAUUUCUUUCUGUCUCCUUCUGAAAAGUGAAGGGUAUUUCUUUCCCUUCCCCUUCCUCCAGCGUUUCUCUGAAAUGCUAAAGCAUCUGGCUGCCUCUGAGCAAGGACAAACUGCAAACACCUGGGUGCUGGGGGGUUUUUCUCCUCCCCUCUCCUUCCUGAGCUCUGCAGCUGCAGGACAGAGUGUUCUGAGGCUGUGAAUGGCACCUUCUCCCCGUGGCUGCCCUUCCAUCAGAAACAGCCUCUGGCUCUUGUCGCUUGAUUUAAAGGGUCCUCACUCCGCUGCUGACCCGAUUACCUCACGAUGAAAUGAUGUGGGGCCGUGACACCGAGGCAUGAUGUCAUGGGCCUUGACGUGUCACCAGAAGAAAUACAAGCUUCCUGGUGCUGGAACUGUAUUACAAGACCAGCCAUGCUUCCAGUGGAGAGCAGUCUGACAGGUCUUUGUCUCUUUGGAUGGACACAUCUGGGGAUGAUGAUUUUACCUCUCUUACCCUCAUCCCUGAUGAAAUGCUGGCUGUGCUCCCUCCUGCUCAGAACCUGUUUCUGCCUCCAUAAGGGAUCACACCAAUAUCCUCAAGAGUUCACACCAAUAUCCUCAAGAGUUCAGAAUUCUGGGUUCAAGGGGCGUGCACAAGGAGACACAAAGAACCAUCUCUGACACAAAAAAAUACCCUGCUAUAAUUUAUGUCUUCUGUGCUUCCCUAGUGAGCAGAGCAGGAUUUUUGCUCCUGAUUUCACUGGAAAAAUUUGGAUCUGAAAUGAAAGGUGACACAAUGUGCUGCCCAGGUCUAUUACUGUCAGUUGUCUUGAGCUGGCAGAUUAUUCAUGGCAAGUAAUUUAUAUAGCACUUUUACUUAUCCUGCCCUUUAUCUCAUCUGUGGUCAAUUUGUUGGAAGUCCUUCUAAUUAGAGUUGUCUUUGCCAAUCACACGGUUUAUUUGUAUUAGCUCAUUGGCUAAAUGUAGCUCUUACAAGGCAUUAAUGAUAUAUAACUGUUAUGAGAAUAGGAAGAACUCCUUUCAAC